This 2068-nucleotide ribosomal RNA is filed under the name human oral metagenome. RNAcentral's name for it is "bacterial LSU rRNA". It matches the Rfam family "Bacterial large subunit ribosomal RNA", at positions 831 to 2925 of the family's 2925-position model. The record is from RNAcentral.
AAUCGAACCAGGAGAUAGCUCGUUCUCUCCGAAAUGCAUCUAGGUGCAGCCUUGAGUGUUCAAUUAUGGGGGUAGAGCACUGAAUGAUCUAGGGGGCAUAUUGCUUACUGAAAUCAAUCAAACUCCGAAUACCAUAAUUUAUAGCUCAGGAGUGAGACUAUGGGAGUUAACUUCCAUUGUCAAAAGGGAAACAGCCCAGACCACCAGCUAAGGUCCCUAAUUAUAACUAAGUGGGAAAGGAGGUGGAGAUUCACAAACAACUAGGAGGUUGGCUUAGAAGCAGCCAUACCUUUAAAGAGUGCGUAAUAGCUCACUAGUCGAGAGUCUCUGCGCCGACAAUGUAACGGGGCUAAGUUAUAAACCGAAGCUGUGGAAUCCGUAAGGAUUGGUAGGAGAGCGUUCUGUAGGCCGUUGAAGAAGAAGGGUAACCGACUUUGGAGGUAUCAGAAGUGAGAAUGCAGGAAUAAGUAGCGAGAAAGGGGGCGAGAAUCCCCCUCGCCGGAAGACCAAGGUUUUCAGGGUAAAGCUUGUCUUCCCUGAGUAAGCCGGGACCUAAGCCCAGGCUAUAAUGCGUAGGCGAAUGGAAAACAGAUUAAUAUUUCUGUGCCAGUCAUUUAUUGUGAUGGAGGGACGCAGAAGGGUAUGCACGCGGACGAUCGGUUGUGUCCGUAGAAGUAUGUAAGAUGACUUAGUAGGUAAAUCCAUUAAGUUAUAUCUGAGGUAUGAUAUACAGUCGUAAGAUGAAUGUGCAAAUCCCACGCUGCCAAGAAAAGCUUCUAACGUUAAUAUAUGACUGCCCGUACUGUAAACCGACACAGGUGGUCAGGAUGAGAAAUCUAAGGCGGACAGGCUAACUCUCGUUAAGGAACUCUGCAAAAUAACCUCGUAACUUCGGGAGAAGAGGAGCCCUUGUGUGUGAGUAUACAUGCGAUACAAAGCGCACGAGGGUCGCAGUGAAGAGGCUCAAGCAACUGUUUAACAAAAACACAGGUCUAUGCUAAGCUGGAAGGCGAUGUAUAUGGGCUGACACCUGCCCAGUGCUGGAAGGUUAAGAGGAGGAGUGAGAGCUCCGAAUUGAAGCCCCAGUGAACGGCGGCCGUAACUAUAACGGUCCUAAGGUAGCGAAAUUCCUUGUCGGGUAAGUUCCGACCUGCACGAAUGGUGUAAUGAUUUGAGCGCUGUCUUGACGGGAGGCCUGGUGAAAUUGUAUUACCGGUGAAGAUACCGGUUACCUACAGUAGGACGGAAAGACCCCAUGGAGCUUUACUGUAGCUUGGUAUUGGGUUUUGGCAUUGCAUGUAUAGGAUAGUUGGGAGACUGUGAUGAUAUGGCGCUAGCUGUAUCGGAGUCAUCGGUGGAAUACCAACCAUUCAAUGCUGAAAUUCUAAUCUGUGGUUUGUCACCACGGAGACAGUGCUAGGUGGGCAGUUUGACUGGGGCGGUCGCCUCCGAAAGAGUAACGGAGGCGUUCAAAGGUUCUCUCAGGUUGGAUGGAAAUCAACCAUAGAGUGCAAUGGCAUAAGGGAGCUUGACUGCAAGACUGACGGGUCGAGCAGAUGCGAAAGCAGGACAUAGUGAUCCGGCGAUUCCGAAUGGAAGGGUCGUCGCUCAACGGAUAAAAGCUACCCUGGGGAUAACAGGCUGAUCCUACCCGAGAGUCCAUAUCGACGGUAGGGUUUGGCACCUCGAUGUCGGCUCAUCGCAUCCUGGGGCUGGAGAAGGUCCCAAGGGUUGGGCUGUUCGCCCAUUAAAGCGGUACGUGAGCUGGGUUCAGAACGUCGUGAGACAGUUCGGUCCCUAUCCACUGUAGGCGUUAGAAUAUUGAGAAGACCUGUCCUUAGUACGAGAGGACCGGGAUGGACAAACCUCUGAUGUACCAGUUGUCACGCCAGUGGCACAGCUGGGUAGUCACGUUUGGAAUAGAUAACCGCUGAAAGCAUCUAAGCGGGAAACUAACUUCAAGAUAAGUAUUCUUUAAGAUACCUUCGAGCCUAGGAGGUUGAUAGGUUGGGGGUGUAAGUGCAGCAAUGCAUUUAGCUGACCAAUACUAAUUAUCGAAGUUUUAAUC